GGUACGGAUCUAGGAAAGGUAGAAGGACUUACUCUUUCGGAGUGAGAGCGUACACAGGUGCUGCAUGGCUGUCGUCAGCUCGUGUCGUGAGAUGUUGGGUUAAGUCCCGCAACGAGCGCAACCCUGCAUUCAGUUGCCAUCGGUAAGGCCGGGCACUCUGGAUGGACUGCCGGCGACAAGCCGGAGGAAGGUGGGGACGACGUCAAGUCAUCAUGGCCCUUAUGUCCAGGGCGACACACGUGCUACAAUGGCCGGCACAACGGGAAGCGAAGGGGCGACCCUGAGCGGAUCCCACAAAAGCCGGUCUCAGUUCGGAUUGCAGUCUGCAACUCGACUGCAUGAAGUUGGAAUCGCUAGUAAUCGUGGAUCAGCCAAGCCGCGGUGAAUACGUUCCCGGGCCUU
This 402-nucleotide ribosomal RNA is filed under the name uncultured Thermovirga sp. RNAcentral describes it as "bacterial SSU rRNA". It matches the Rfam family "Bacterial small subunit ribosomal RNA", at positions 983 to 1382 of the family's 1533-position model. Lineage: Bacteria; Thermotogati; Synergistota; Synergistia; Synergistales; Thermovirgaceae. The record is from RNAcentral.